Long non-coding RNA from Rhineura floridana, 2994 nucleotides. RefSeq lists it as uncharacterized. The transcript has 3 exons. The record is from RefSeq and is a predicted model, not a curated record. NCBI's taxonomy places the organism in Eukaryota, Metazoa, Chordata, Lepidosauria, Squamata, Rhineuridae.
GUACUAGUGGCUCAGGCAGAGGGCUGCUGCUUAGAACAUGAGCAGGCACGCAAAGAGAGAGAAAAACAGGACAAAAUACUACUUUAAUUUUUUAUAUAUAUAAAAGCAUCCCUUCAGUCUCCUGCCAAACUAGCCGGAGUAUUCUUCUGCUGUUUAUCCGAGGAGAGCAUUUUCAGAAAACACGACUGGAAGAAGACACUAAAUCCACCUUAGUAAAACAAGCCACAUUUCUGAGGAAGAAACCGAGAGAGGCAGAAAAAGAACCUGCGCUACUUUUUCAACAAGCGAAGAAGGCGGGAAACGGAACUGCCCAGAAUUUGACUUGGCCCCCCAUCACCACCACGCAAGAGAAGGCUAUUUCUUUAAAGGACCGCCAGAAGGAAGCGCGUAGGAAAGGGUCUACCCCGAGACGCAACUUCUCCGGGGGCUGCGGGAGGCGAGGCUUUCAGGGAGAGAAAAUUCGCAGAAAACUUCAGACAAGCGACCUGCCUCCUCUGGAACGGGAUAGGGACGUGUCUGCGUUUGUCGCGAGCUGCGUGGGUGCUUAUUGAGGCUCGAGGCUGCGCCGCGCCGGAGUUUCUGUCGGGACCCUGCGAAGGAGUGAGCGGAGAAGACUCCAGCGAGGCUCCUCUGUUCCUGGCGCACAGAGGUGAAUGAGAGCGAGGCCUCGCUGCGACUGUGGGGAGGCCACUCUCAGGCGUCUUGGGGAAGGACGGGACUGAAGGAAAGAAGGUGGGAGCGAGACUUUCGCCGCACGAGAGAGAGUGAGCGAGCCACACGCUUUGUCUUUUCCUAUCCACUUAUCCCGGGACGAGAAAAGGAGGAAGGAAAGGCGCCACCUCGCCCGGAGAAGGUGACAGAAGAAAGCGAGGAGGAAAAGGUUUUCCAAACUCGCAACCGCUACCGGGGGCGGCGACGACGACAGGGGGUGGGGAAGAGAAGCCCGACAAAAACUCCGGGCAAGCAACCUGCUUCUGGUGGAAGAGGAAAGACAGGGCGGUGCUGCGUUUGUCACAGAAACGCCUGUCUGCCGGCGGAAAGAGGGAGCCGAGCUGCGCGUGGCUUACUGAGACGCGAGGCUGCGGCUCGCUGGAGUUUUUGUCGGGACCCUGUGGAGGAGCGCGCGGGGCAGAGCGCCGGAGAGGCUCUUUCUGGGCUUCGUGGCGCCCGCUGAGUGCCCACUUUGGAAGAAAGAAAAAGAAGAGACUGAUUAUUGGCAUCCAGCACUGAAACCAAGGCAGCUGAUGCUGAGAGGAGCCAAAGGGUGCAGUUCUUCUUAGUUUAAAAACAGCACGGCAUUCUUUGCCAAAGAUUGCUGUAAACACUGAAUAAAGAUUUCAUUGUGGGUUGGUGUGACUAGAAUAAUUAGUCAGUUAAUUGUUUAUUCUGAUCCAAAUGUGCAGUACUCAGAAAUACAUAGUUAAAAAAAUAGCAACAAGUGAAAGAGAGAAAAGUUUAGUAACUUGCAAUAUUUAUCACAUUGUUAUAUUUACCAUCUGUUAUAGUGUUACAAUACUCAGAAAACUGAACUUGGUUGUUUUUUUCAUUUCAGAGACAAAUCUUGGUAUGCAAUUGAAUUUUUUAAACAUGUCUUGUAUCUACUUCUCCAUUUCAGUUUGAUGUGACAGUUGUGUUUCUCUUCCUCUCUCUUUUUAAUGAAAAAAAUACAAAGGUGAUAUAGAAUGAGCAUCUUAAAUGGAUUGACUAAUACCAAUUAAUAUAUUCUUUUUCUGUGCGCACUUUAUUGCCAACUCAGCAGGGAUGAAAGCUAAUUGUGCCAGCUUUUGUGCUGCUCUGACACUCUUCAAGCGGUAUUGCUAGAGUCGAGCUGUAAACUAUUGAGUUUUUUUUUAACACUGUAAUUAUUGCGUCUGAGGCAAGUUACUUUUCAAAAAAGGCUGCUCUAUCAAAUGCUCAACUGGCAUUAUAAAGAGUUUUUUAUAGCAUUCACUAUCCUAUGUGACUUUAAUGAAGUGUGACAGGUUUGCUAGUGCCUCAGGGUGACUUUAAUCAUGGAAAUUAUGGUUAUUUACAUAGCAUCAUCAGUUACAUAAUGUUUUAUAGCAUAAGUUUCUUUUUAAAAAAAACUAAACUAGUCCCUGCCCUAAGGAAAUUUAAAAUUAGAUAGUGGAGGGGAAGCAGAGGGAGAUGAGAAGUAAGAGUCAUGAGAUAUGGAUGUAAAAAAAUGCAGUUACCCAUAACAGUGGUACAAUCCUAUAUGCAUGUUUAUUUAGAAAUAAACCCCACUGUGUCCAUUGAUGUGGACAGAGCAACCCUAACUCUGGUCAGCGAGCAGUGGGACAGAAUGGUGUUGUGGAGACACCACUGCAUCCAAAGCCCUGCCAUUUCCACCAGCCAGGCUAGAGACAGAUAUAUCCACAUUUAUUUUUAUUCUAUUUUAUUGAUUGAUUUAUUGUUGCACCAGCUUUUGAUGCUUCAAAAAGACUCAGACUGGCCCCUGUUUUGGAGCUGGAUCAGCUUAGUACCCUGUGGAUCUUUUCCCAGCCCAGAUCCACCCCCUCCACUGAAACACCCUGUUUUGGGCUCCCAUCAGGUACUGGUGGUGAGAAAACCACUGGUGGGUGUGGGGACAUGGCAGCAGAGCCCCCUAUUGGUGUAAUCCCCUCCAGCAGUGCAUCUUGUGGGUUAGAAUUGCACCCUUAUCACCACCAUAAGUAUGCUUAGGAUUACAACUAGAGGCCAUUGGAGAUGGGGGACUUUCACAGGGGGAGUAAAUAAGCAAGGACGUUUUGUAAAAGUUGGGUUUUAAGAAAGGAUUUGAAGGAAUAGAACUUGCACUUCAGAUAGUAAACUGUGACUUCCUGACAUUUCAAUGUAAGUGAAAUGUGAUAGUAGCCACAUCUACUUUAUAAGCAACAACUGUCAUGUGUCUGUGCACCUGAACAGGGCACUACAAGAACCACUCAACCAAUGUGCAGAAAGAAAGUGUCAAUCAAAAGACUGCUGGCAAGUCUUAUAUUUCACAGACUUAAU